This 777-nucleotide ribosomal RNA is filed under the name uncultured Neocallimastigales. RNAcentral describes it as "partial large subunit ribosomal RNA". It matches the Rfam family "Eukaryotic large subunit ribosomal RNA", at positions 26 to 634 of the family's 3401-position model. The record is from RNAcentral. Lineage: Eukaryota; Fungi; Neocallimastigomycota; Neocallimastigomycetes; Neocallimastigales.
CGCAUCUGUGCAUGCAGCAUAUCAAUAAGCGGAGGAAAAGAAACUAACAAGGAUUCCCUCAGUAACGGCGAGUGAAGCGGGAAGAGCUCAAAUUUGAAAUCUUGAAAGGUCACCUUUCACGAAUUGUAGUUUAAAGAAGUGUUUUCUGUUACGAUCGUAAUAUAAGUUCUUUGGAAUAGGACAUCAUAGAGGGUGAGAAUCCCGUAUAUUGACCAUGAUUUGUCAGCUUUGUGAUACACUUUCAAAGAGUCGGAUUGUUUGGGAAUGCAGUCCAAAAUGGGUGGUAAAUUUCAUCUAAAGCUAAAUAUUGGCGAGAGACCGAUAGCGAACAAGUACCGUGAGGGAAAGAUGAAAAGAACUUUGAAAAGAGAGUUAAACAGUACGUGAAAUUGUCAAAGGGAAGCGUUUGACACCAGUGUUGUUUUUCUCGAAAAUCAAUUAAAAAUGGCUCGAUUUUGUAUUGCUUGAGACCUUAAAAGCUCACUGUACAUUUUUCGUGUCUUUUUUAAUGCACCUUUCGUUUAACAAGUCAACAUCAGUUUCUUUUGUUGUAAAAGGGUCAUUGGAAGGUGGCUUUCUUUUCGGAGAAAGUGUUUAUAGCCUUUGGCCUCUGCAAUCGAAGAGACUGAGGUCUGCAGCGUAGACUCUUCGGGGUUAGAUACAUUUGUGCUAAGUUAUAGCUUUUUAUAGACAACUUGUUGACUAUAAUUAGUCUUGUAGCUUACUCGCUUAUGCUAUUUUACCUACGCUUAGGAUGUUGACGAUCAGCUGAGCGCG